GACGAACGCUGGCGGCGUGCUUAACACAUGCGAGUCGAACGGAAAGGCCCUGCUUUUGUGGGGUGCUCGAGUGGCGAACGGGUGAGUAACACGUGAGUAACCUGCCCUUGACUUUGGGAUAACUUCAGGAAACUGGGGCUAAUACCGGAUAGGAGCUCCUGCUGCAUGGUGGGGGUUGGAAAGUUUCGGCGGUUGGGGAUGGACUCGCGGCUCAUCAGCUUGUUGGUGGGGUAGUGGCUUACCAAGGCUUUGACGGGUAGCCGGCCUGAGAGGGUGACCGGCCACAUUGGGACUGAGAUACGGCCCAGACUCCUACGGGAGGCAGCAGUGGGGAAUAUUGCACAAUGGGCGGAAGCCUGAUGCAGCAACGCCGCGUGCGGGAUGACGGCCUUCGGGUUGCAAACCGCUUUCGCCUGUGACGAAGCGUGAGUGACGGUAAUGGGUAAAGAAGCACCGGCUAACUACGUG
This 468-nucleotide ribosomal RNA is filed under the name uncultured bacterium. Its description in RNAcentral is "partial 16S ribosomal RNA". It matches the Rfam family "Bacterial small subunit ribosomal RNA", at positions 28 to 507 of the family's 1533-position model. The record is from RNAcentral.